UACGAGGGGUGCAAGCGUUGCUCGGAAUUAUUGGGCGUAAAGGGUAGGUAGGUGGUCUCAUUUGUCUGGGGUGAAAGCCUUGAGCUUAACUCAAGAAGUGCCUCGGAAACGGUGAGACUAGAGUUCUGGAGAGGGUCGUGGAAUUCCCGGUGUAGCGGUGAAAUGCGUAGAGAUCGGGAGGAACACCAGAGGCGAAGGCGGCGACCUGGACAGAUACUGACACUAAACUACGAAAGCGUGGGGAGCAAACAGG
Molecule: unclassified non-coding RNA, 253 nt
Filed under: uncultured Oligoflexales bacterium
Lineage: Bacteria; Pseudomonadati; Bdellovibrionota; Oligoflexia; Oligoflexales
Description: contains 16S-23S intergenic spacer region
Rfam family: Bacterial small subunit ribosomal RNA
Source: RNAcentral